This 275-nucleotide ribosomal RNA is filed under the name uncultured Mycobacterium sp. RNAcentral's name for it is "partial 16S ribosomal RNA". It matches the Rfam family "Bacterial small subunit ribosomal RNA", at positions 338 to 625 of the family's 1533-position model. Lineage: Bacteria; Bacillati; Actinomycetota; Actinomycetes; Mycobacteriales; Mycobacteriaceae. The record is from RNAcentral.
CCUACGGGGGGCAGCAGUGGGGAAUAUUGCACAAUGGGCGCAAGCCUGAUGCAGCGACGCCGCGUGGGGGAUGACGGCCUUCGGGUUGUAAACCUCUUUCAGCACAGACGAAGCGCAAGUGACGGUAUGUGCAGAAGAAGCACCGGCCAACUACGUGCCAGCAGCCGCGGUAAUACGUAGGGUGCGAGCGUUGUCCGGAAUUACUGGGCGUAAAGAGCUUGUAGGUGGUUUGUCGCGUUGUUCGUGAAAUCUCACGGCUUAACUGUGAGCGUGCG